RNAcentral lists this ribosomal RNA (522 nucleotides) under uncultured bacterium. RNAcentral describes it as "bacterial SSU rRNA". It matches the Rfam family "Bacterial small subunit ribosomal RNA", at positions 20 to 524 of the family's 1533-position model. The record is from RNAcentral.
UGGCUCAGGACGAACGCUGGCGGCGUGCCUAAUACAUGCAAGUAGAACGCUGAAGACUUUAGCUUGCUAGAGUUGGAAGAGUUGCGAACGGGUGAGUAACGCGUAGGUAACCUGCCUAUUAGUGGGGGAUAACUAUUGGAAACGAUAGCUAAUACCGCAUAAUAGUGUUUAACACAUGUUAGAGACUUGAAAGAUGCAAUUGCAUCACUAGUAGAUGGACCUGCGUUGUAUUAGCUAGUUGGUGGGGUAACGGCCUACCAAGGCGACGAUACAUAGCCGACCUGAGAGGGUGAUCGGCCACACUGGGACUGAGACACGGCCCAGACUCCUACGGGAGGCAGCAGUAGGGAAUCUUCGGCAAUGGGGGCAACCCUGACCGAGCAACGCCGCGUGAGUGAAGAAGGUUUUCGGAUCGUAAAGCUCUGUUGUAAGAGAAGAACGUGUGUGAGAGUGGAAAGUUCACACAGUGACGGUAACUUACCAGAAAGGGACGGCUAACUACGUGCCAGCAGCCGCGGUAAU